GCCUUCUUUUCUUUCGGACGUAUACAGUGCCCUGCGCGCACUCACUUUCUUCUUCACUCAAAAGCACAGACGCUAACACGGGGAGAGAAGAUAUUUUUUAUUACUGAAAUUCGCCCUCAGAAUCAACAAUGAAGAAGAGAGAGCUAUCCAGUACUUUAAAGAACUUGAAGGUAUUUAAAUAUCAGUUUGUUAAUUCUUUUUCUUGUUUAAAAUUUGAAAUCUUAUUCAAUUUAACUGGGUUUUUAUUUAAUUAAUGUGGGUAUUUUUUUAUUCAUAUAAUUAAUAUGGGUUUAAAAUGUAGAUAUUAUUUCGGGACGCUAUGAGCUCAAUAUUAUUACACUUGAUUUCAACUGCUUUUCCUUUUUCAUUUAUGUUUUUUGCAGUUUAUGCAAAGGGCAGCGCAGAAAGAGGAGAAAGGUAAGAAGGAAGAAGAGGUCACACCUGCUGCAGAUUUCCCUUCAUCUGGUAUCCCUAAAAAAUGGUAUUUUCUUUUUAUAUUUCUAUUCUUCUUUUUUUUUUUUGGCCCCCCCCCCCCCUCUUUAGAUUGAAAUUCCAUGUCGAACUAUGUCUUGUAACCUUAUGUUAUCUGGGUGCAUCUAGAUACUGUGUAAUAUGUAUGAUGUGCAGUUAAUAUUUCAUAUAUUUGGUCAUACUUUACUUGAAAACUUUGGUUAAUGGUUGCUCGAAACUCUUUCUUUCUAUGAGUACAAUAGAGAUUAAUUAUACAAAGAAAGCCUCCAUGAUGCAAACGUCAAAAUCAUGUUUCCUGCCAUUGUCGUAAAACGAAGGAAAUUCCAAUUCGAUCAUGUAUAUUAUAGUUUUAACAUACUCGGACUCAUUGAAGCGAGGAGAAGUGAUGAGCUUUGCGGAAAUUUGAUCGUAAUGGAUCUACAUGCUUGUUUGAGUUCGGUGCCAAAUUGUAAAGCUAGGGGCUUCUGCAGUUACAAUGUUUUUCCUAUUUGGUCUAGAUUUGACUCUUAAAAAAUUUGAUCUAUGGUUGUUGUGAUAUGAAGUGAUAGAUGAUGGGGAUGCCCUGACAUAUUUUUGCUUCAGUUUUGAAACUUGAAAUGUGAUUCUUUGAAGGUAACAUUUUUGUUCAAACGGAUGGUAGCCUAUGAUUGGUCCUAGGAACGGAGGAGUGGAACAUUUACGUUAGGGUAAGUAUAUGAGUUUUUUUUUUUUUUUUUUUAACCAGAAAGUAUAUAAGUUUUGAGGGACCUUGUUUGUUACAAGAGACAAGAGUGAGGAGGGGAGGGGAAGGGAAGGGAAGGGAUAAAGAGAACUAGUGGUAGAGGGAGAAAAUUAUUUUUCUUAUGUUAAACCUUGUUCAAUACAGGAAAGAGGAGAGGGAAAGGAGGAGAGAGAUUUAGUGGAAGACAAAGGAAAAUUACUUUUGUUUGUGUUUAAUAGUUACCAUUAUUUCCUCUUUAUUAAAAAUUAUGGUUUAGGCUAUAUUUAAUCUUUUGAGUUGUUUGCCUAGUCUUAAGCCUCCACUUUCUUAGGGAAAGAGCAAAGUUUCACCUUCACUUCCACUUUCUAUCUGCCUAGCCUUCAUUACAGUACACAGAAAUCAGCUUUCAGUAGAUGUGUAAAAUAGUCUCCUCUGGGAUCACAUGUCUUUAUCUAAUUAUUUUUGUUUUUAUAUGUCCUGAAUCAAGUGCUAUAUUGAAAUAUAAAUAUUACUAUUUUCAUUUUAUAAACACAUUCUUUUCUUUAUAAUACCAGAGUUCUCUAUUUUAUUUAUUUUUUUCCCACUUCAUGUUCAAAUGCAGUGUUGUUAUUGUGGAAGGGGAUCCCCAUCCUGUGGCAACAAGUGGUUGGAUGUCAUUUUUAAGUUUUAACCCUUCUAUUGAUGUGAGUGUAAAAGGUAGCAUAAUAUUUAAUUACUCUUAUAAUUUUCUUUUGGCCAUCUCACAUCAGAAGUUUGUUUCGGUAGAAACUCAAUGAAGAUCAUCAACCAGAAGCCUCUACUAUGAAUUCUGGCCGACAAAGCAAAACAAUAUCUAUUAGGUUGCAUUCCCUUACUUUUUGAUCAUUAUUGACACAAUAGAACUUAUUAUGUCUUAAACUUUGUUUUGUUGGUGGACCAAUUUUGCAAAAAAUUGCUUUUUUACCGUCACUUAAGAUUUAACAUGGAUGACAUGAAACUCUCUAUUGUAAUGUUUAUAGGAAAAUGAACACUAAUCGAACUUCAUAUUCUUCCCAUUAACAUCUUCAAUUAAUAAUAGAGCAGUUUUUUGUUAUCACUCAAAAUUGACGGUCAGGAGUUCACAACUUUGGGAGACUAAUCAAAUUAACCAUGAGAUAGUUUUCCCUUUGAUUCUUACUGUACUUGGACUUGAGUAGAAAUUAAUAAUGCAUCUUUGCUUGAUUAUAUAUUGAGCAUUACUUGGGCAAUAAGUAUGGCCCAAGAAUUUAUGGUUUCCUUGAUCUAUCAUUCACUGCAUAUGCCCCCCCCCCACUCCCCACCCCCCCGGGUUUUUUACAGAGAGAAUGGGAAUGUACAAGGUGGGUUAGACAUUUCCGAACCAGAUAGUUUGAGAUAUGAUGAAAAUGGAGACUUUAAAAGGAAGCAACGCAAUGUUGUCUCUGGCACGAUAUAUCCAAAUAAAUCACAGAAAAUUUUUCAAGCCAAUCAACAAUCAUCUCCAAAUGGCAGUCAUAAUUCUCACAAGAAAACCAAGCAUGGAAAGCUGGACUGGAGUGUUCUUCGACCUCCCAAGUAUCAAAACAAAAAGAAAUGAGCGCUAUAGGUGAUUCUUUACAUCGCUUAUUUGUCUCUAAAUGCUUCUAUUUUCUAAACUAAUGGCAUUCCUUCGUCUACCUUAUGUGCAAUAAUGUUGUAUUAGUAUUAGUCACUUUGUAUCAAGUUGCUUAAUUGUUUUAUUGAUUCAUACUCUUCACCUUCGGAAUUUUUGUGACGCCAUGAUAGGAUAUAUUUACAUGCAUUCUUAUUACUUAUUGGUAUAAUUGCAUUUUUAUACAUAACAAUAUUUAACCUGUGCAAUCUAUUUAAUUGAACGUAACUGAGCCUGUUCCUCUGCUGCUUGAUCAAAGUUUACUGUUAUAUUAGAAACUCGACCAAUGUUUGUCUUUUCCAGUGUUCUUAGCUCUAUGAUUUUUCAUGUCAGGCACAUUUUCUUUUUCUUGGUUGAUUUUAUGAUCAUAUUUUCUGCACAAUUAUCAUCUUCCUCUUGCGGGUUUUCCUUUUUCUCAAAUCAUGUGAGAAUGAUGUUAUCUGUGCUCUUUUCUGCUUUCUUCUUCCAAUCAUUUUCUUUGAUUUCAAAUCUUAACUACAAAAGCAUAAUUUGGAAGAAAGCAAUGGCUCUUGCUGCUACUUGACCUCAGCUCCAAAUGGCUUUUCUUAUAAAAAAUUGCAUUCAUCGAAGACUUGCAAAUGCUGAUUGAGUGGCCUAAUGAUUGCAAAUUUGACCGUAGAAUGGACAAGUAUCUUGUGGCUGAACUUGGCAGCAGAUAUUUGAAUCUUUUAAAUUAAGACAUCAACUUGACAGAGUUUUGUUUUAGUUCAGUUUUCAAGUUACAUGGAAUAUAGUUUGUUUAGUUUUGGUUGGCCUUUAAUCCUUCUUUGCCUUCACAUUAUUAUUCGCCUUAGCUGACUCAAACAUUUGACCUUAAUUUGACUUUUACUGAUGCUAUACACCAGCUUUUUUGAGUCCCUAAUGUGCCAUGUCGUUCAAUUUAUUUUAUUUUGGCGAAUCAUAAAAUUAAGAUUAAACAAAGGGGAAAUUACCAUAGCUCAACUAGAAAACACUUAAAACAACAUAGGAUAAUCAUCAGUGGUCAAUUCUUAGCAUCUAUAGAAAUUGUCUAUUUAUUCAUUCUCAUGAGGCCUUCAGCAAGAAAGAGCAUUAAGAACUCUGCCUUUCCAUCCUUGCAGCAUCCACUGGCUAUCUUCAUCCACCAGAAAAUCCUUGUGGUAACCUCUCCGUACUUUAGCCUUGAUUUCUUUGAUGAUAUCAUGGUUCAGUGGCAGCUGCCAGAAUCCAGCCUUCUGAUUCCGAGCUUGCCAUUGCUUGUAAGUUUCUGGUCUCUCGACCUUUUCGAAACCUUCACAUGCUAUUACAUUCAUAACAUCUCGUCCAAACACCUCAAUUUCAUACAGCAGACUUCUUGAUCUUCCUGGGGAAUUGUUGCCUCAAGCAUAUAGAAAAAAGGAGUAAUUGUAUAGUGCUGCUUUGAAUCGUGUUGAAAAGAAUGGGACACUGAAGUUCCAUUAACGAUUCCAUGGACGAAAAGGUCAGGAUUUAUCUUCUUGAUCAAGUUCAAAACUGAAUCCCGUGGACUGUUUACUCCUACGGAUUCAUCAGGCAGAUGUCUUAGCCUGUACAGACAAUUAACCACCAGCAUUUGAUUUCUGUCGAUCUUGAGAUCCUCUAGUCUAAUCGUAUCCCAUUUCUUUCUAUGGCUCCCUUGGCCUUUGGAGAGGAGAAGGCAGCCUUUUUAUUUCUCAUCAAACGAAUGGCAAUUUCUUCUGGUGGGUGACUGAUGGCAAAGUAGUACCGUGAGGGAAGGGUGAAAACAACUCCCAUCGGGGAGUGAAAUGGAAUAUGAAAAAAAAAAUGAGAAUUUACCCCAAGUAAUUGAGCGUGAGAGCCAAAUGAAUCGAAAGAUUCAUGUUUGGUUCGGGACAGCGAUUCAAAGAUUGGGGUCUCACUCUAUUUCCUUGCCAGCCCUAAUAGCAUUCAUGGUCAAAGAUUCGCCGAGCCGAUAGUUCUCGCUCCACUUUUUUCAGCUUAGUUACUCGUUCCUAAGAGCUGAAAAAGAGAUGUAUUAGCUUUUCCUUUAUAAAAUACAUACUCUUAAAAUAGAAAAUAAGACUAUUCGCAACAGAAUCACUUUGUUUCGAUGACAUAUCUAAUUAGACCGAAUAGGAUUUGAAGGGCUGUCACGAUCAUUCACAUAAAUUUCAGCAGGCAGGAAGGGCACGAAAGCUACCCUUUGAUGAAUGCAAGCAAGCUAGCUUGCUUACUCUCCUAUUAGCGUAUGUUGGCGGCAAAAAACAAAGACGACGAUACUAAACUAAAGUAAAGAUAUAGGUUUAGGAAGCUUCCCAGAGUCAGUAGACCAUGUCGGAGUAGGGGAAGAGUUAGAUGAUUGGACUAAACGGAAGAUAUUGUCGAUAAAUAGAAGUACAUCUGCAUAUCUUACCCAGAUUUUCUUCCAUAAUGGUAUGAAACAAUAGUCUCAUUGGAGUAGAUACACAAAUUACUUUAAAUGUAAGAAGCCAAGUAGGCGGGUUUGUCCGAGUGGAGAGGGAAAAAAAAAAAACUAAUAAUCUUUUCUGGAGAUAUCCAUUUCUUCUUUUGGUUGUUUCCAAGUCUUGUGACUGUCAGUUACUCGAAAAGGAAAGUAGGCCCACAGAAUCGCGCUUCGCAAAAGACGGGUAGAUAAAUGAAAAUAAAAAUGCAUAUAGAACGAACAAAUAAUACUCAAUCAUCAAUUUACCCUUAAGAAAAAUAAUCCCCUUUAUUUCUUUUUUGAUAAUGUAACGAAUAAAAGUCUAUGUAAGUAAAAUAUGACUAAAAAAGGUAGUAGUAAUUAAAAAGAACUCAAAGGGAACAUUAAAUCUCUGACAGUAUUUCUGUAGUCGACGUCCUGUCUGCUCAACUCGUUCUGCUGGCUUGAAACCCGACUGAGGAAAAUCUAUUCCUGUAAUGCGAAGUAUGGGAGCUCCCCCUGGUUUCAAGGAAAUGCCCUGGAUAAUGCGAGGCUAUCCUUUUGAAUGGGCAUGCUGCGACAUAUGUCUGAUACACUUUCAGUAGAGAGGAAAUACACGGAAAUGACUUUUGGACUGUAGCAAAUUUUAACAUUAGCCUUUAACCCAUUAAAAAAAUUAAGUUAAAACAUAACUUUACACUAACAGGGCGAUUUUACCCUUCAAGGCUACAGACUGUUUGAAAGUUUCCUCUCUAACCGAUCGACCCAAAAAAAUCGACGCCACAGUUGCAAGAAAAAUCGGUCGAUCAACCAUCGACCGAAACCAUCAACGUCAUAGUGAUUUCAAUCGACGACCAGAAGCACGUAUCUACCACCGAGCGAACUAUUUCGGUUAGUUUUCUCCCAGGAAGUUGUAUUUUUUGUUCCAAUUUUCAUUAAUUGUAUUAUUUUAUGUUUAUUUGAUUUAAUUAGAUGAAGAUGCAUGAGUAGUUAGAUUGUGGGUCAUGCUGGGAUGAAAAAUGUGAAUUUUUUGUAAUUUUUGGAUCUCUCCAUCGUCGGAAAUGCAUUGACUGUUAACAGUCAUGGACUGACUGUUGUUAACAGCCGGCAAUUUUGUUAAAAAAAUAAUAAAAAAUAAAAAAUAAUAUAUAUAUAUAUAUAUAUAUAUAUAAUUUUUAUUUGUUUUUUUAUCAAUUUUUAUAAUAAUUUUUUUAUUUAUUUAAUUAAAUAGUAAUUGUGUUAUUUAUUUAAUUUUUAUAAUUGUCUUUUAUUUAUAUAAUUUAAUAAUUGAAUAUUAUAUAAAAUUAACUAUUUAUUUUGUUCAUUUUUUUUUAUGAAAUAAUCUUUGAUUUUUUUUUUCGAAUUUAUUUAAAUAAUAUAAAUAUUCUUUAAAUUUUUUAAAAAUGUAUUUAAUUUGAAUUUUUUUGUUUUUAAAUUUAUUUUCCAAAUGAUUACAAGAUUAAUUUUCUUUAUAAUUAAUUUAUUUUAAUUUGAUUAAAUAAUAAUUAUGUUAUUUAUUUAUUUAUUUUUUAUAAUUGUCUUUUUUUAUAUAAUUUAAUAAUUGAAUAGAUAAUGUUGUCCAAAAUUAACAAUUUAUUUUGUUCCUUUUAUUUUCUUUUAUGAAAUAAUCUUUGAUUUUUUUCUAAUUUAUUUAAAUAAUAUUUAUAUUCUUUAAUUUUUUUUAAAAAUGUAUUUAAUUUGAGUGUUUUUUUUGUAAAUAUAUUUUUUAAAUGUAAUAUACAAGAUUAAUUUUCUUUAUAACUAAAUUAUUUUAAUUUUUAAAUUUGUAAUGAAUUUAUUUUGUUAUUAACGUCAAUGUCUUGCGUAUUGUAUGGUAGUUAGAAUUCAGUUGCCUUGAUUUUUUGAGAUUAUGCGUUAUUUUAUUAUCUCUUGUUCAAUAUUCUAACAUUUGAAUUUUUGCAGGAUGGAAUAUCAUUUAGAUGGGGAAUUGAAACUAAUGGCGGGGAAAGCUACUUGGAACAGUAGUUUUGAGAGUUUUAUUAUUGUGUUGGAGCUGCUUGAUAAUCAUCACGGAGAUAUGCUACGACAGUCCUUCUUGUGGUCACUGUACCAGAUGCGAGAGGUGCAGUACUCAGGACAGAUCAUCGAUGCACUUCUAUGUCGGCUUCUGAGGCCAGUAGACAGCGAUUCCCUCCACUUCGACCUCGAGGGCAAGGUCGUCAGUUUCUCGAUGUAUGAGUUUAGCUUGAUGGGCGACGAUGGACGACGAUGUAGCCAUUAAGAGAAGUAAUAGGCUGUACGAGACGUACUUCCAGGGACAUGGGUCGAUGCAUCUACCCGAGUUGAUGGUCGCGAUCAGGGGGUGCGACCAGAUGCUAGAUAGAUUGAAGUUUGGGCUGGUCUACAUCCUCGAGAGUGUGAUGAGGUGUCAUCACAAGAAAACUGCUAUCGACAUUUUUCAUUUAGAAGUUGUUGACGAUAUCGAUGCGUUCAACAACUAUCCAUGGGGCCAGAGAUGCUACGAAGAUACCGUACAUGUCUUCACCAGAUCACACUCGAGGUCCAGGGGGUCAAUGCGUAAAUACAAAAUAUAUGGAUUGCCCUUAGCGGUGCAGGUAAAUGUUUAAUAUAAUUAAAGUUAAAGUUUUAAUAUAUUACAUUUAUGCAUAAUAAGUGUAUGUGUUGCAGAUUUGGGUGUAUAAGACAGUCCCUGCACUGGGGGCUCGCUUCGCAAAGGGAGGGGAGACACGCCCUCGAAUGCAUCAUUGGAGAUCGUCACGAGCGGACAGAUGUCCCACUGGGAAACAGUUAUCGACCCUCAUCGACGAUCCUCAGGUAAGUAUUAUGCAUUUGUAAUUUAUAUUAUACGUAGUUUAAAAUCUGUUUACAUGAUCGUUAACUAGUUGAAAUGUCAAUAUGUCAACUUGAAGUCAUACCUGAGUUGACGCCGUCGAUGGAAGAGGAGGCUCGGGGUCUUGUGUGGGAUUUAGGCAUUCCGCACACCCAAAACGAGGAGAUGUCUGAUUCGAUCCUGGACCGAGAUUGGAUAUUUGAAUUAAAUAUAAUUUAUUGAAUAUCGUCGACGUAUAAAUUUAUUGAAUAAUUUUUAAUGUUAUUUAUGUAGGAGGGCGGUCCAACUGAUCGACGAUCACCUCCGUUGAGGGUAUCGCCGCCACCAUUGGCAUCGCCUCCGCCGAGGGCAUAGCCGUCGCCAUUGGCAUCAUGACCGGUUAAGGGUAUCUCCUUAUCCCUCGUCCAGACACGUCCCCCAUGUAUCUCCGACACAUAGUGAUGAUUUGUUUGUCCGUCUGACUGGAUUUAUAGCGAAAGAGGUCGGCGCUCUACGACGAGAGUUGACGGAGAUGGUCGAUGAUCUAGGACGAGAGUUGAUAAGGAGGGUCGACGAUAUGGGACGAGAGUUGACGGGGAGGGUUGACGAUAGCGGCACUUAGAGGAUAUUUAGCCGGUAGGUGAUAGGGGGACAGAGGGGAUGGUGGAGAUGAUGAUUGAGAGGGUGGCAGGGAUAGUGAUGGAGAGGGGGUUAACCCACAUUUUUGGCAUGAUGAGACAUUAUAAUCAUUGUGGUUGUCUAUGAAGGGGGAGAGGGUGGCCCCGAUGGGGGGGCGGGGAGGUGGCAACGGAAGGGGAGACUCCGAUGGGAGGGGCGGAUGAGGUGGCGACGGAGGAGGUGGUUUCGGAGGUCGAGAGGACGCCCGUCGUGAUUGAGGGUAAAAGACAUGCUAUUGAUGAGACGGAGCAGGUGGUCGACAAGAGGUUGAGAGUGCCGUCAUAGUAUGUUGUUUUCCCCUUCACGGCUGAGGUCAAGAGGAAACGUUCAUCGAUGGGACGCACUCGAACUUAUUUAGGGAGGUGGACAACGGCAAAUGAAAAGUGUUCGAGACGGAGUGGAGGAGAAUUAUCCCCGGGUAAAUAUUGUACACUGACUUGUCUAUGUUUGUUUUAACAUUUCCAUGUUCUUUCAGAGUUAGCCACACGAUAGGUAACUGGACGGUCUCGGACCCGUACAAGUGGUUCCACGAUAUCACCAUUUCGAAAGCUUGGCUCGCCGAUGAUGUAAGUAAACUAUUCAUUUUGUGUUUUUUAUGUACAUGUCACUUUGUGUUUAUUAAAUGAACAACUCAUACUUUUUUGGUGUUUUUUAAUUCAGCACAUCGACCUAACCAUGGACUUGCUGCAAGAUUGAGCUCAAAGACAUCCAAAACCAUUUGACGUCCAUGGUCGAGUCAUAUUAAACACCGAGUUCCUGCGUGUCGUUACCAUAGAGUAUCAGUCGCUCCAACUUAUGGGUAACGAGUAUACGGUAUCAGAAUAUAUGCUCGAGUAGGUUAUAGGAAUGUCGCCGAGUGUCGGGGGAAAAUCAUGGGAGGGUUGUACACUUAUGUACAUUGCAGCGUGCAUCGAUAAGCACUAUGUUAUGCUGGAGAUCGUUUUUUGCUGACACGACUAUAUAUGUGUACGACUCAAAUCAUUCAUAUUUGAUACAAGGCUAGCUGGAGCAAAACUUGGAGUCCGUAGCUAUAAUUGUUCCUAUGAUGGCCAGAUGAGCGGGGAUGAUUGUACCGAGCAUAUUGCGAAUUGUUCGGAACACGAUGACAGCGCGACAGUCCAUAAGAUAAGUGUUUGAACUUUAUUGUUUUCAUCUUUCAGAUUUAGUUUUUUAGCUACACAGUACCGAACUGAUCCAUUCUUGUUCAAUUGUAGCUGCAACUGCAGCAUAUUUGCUAUUAAGUACGUUGAAUUUUUAAGUAUAGGAUAUAAGGUUGAUGAAAUCAACCAAUCGUGAAUACAGAACUGGAGAAAGGAGUUAGCUUGUGAUUUGUUUGAAUUUAAUGUAACCCGUAAAUUUGUGUUAAAUAUAUGUAACGUUCGAAUUGUAGAUUUAAUUAUUUUUUGUGAUUAUGAAAUAAUUGUAAAUUUGUGUUCAAU
RNAcentral lists this long non-coding RNA (10086 nucleotides) under Olea europaea subsp. europaea. The record is from RNAcentral. Lineage: Eukaryota; Viridiplantae; Streptophyta; Magnoliopsida; Lamiales; Oleaceae.